GNAGGGUCCAAGCGNUAAUCGGAANNACNGGGCGNAAAGCGNGCGCAGGCGGUNGUGCGAGACCGAUGUGAAANCCCCGGGCUUAACCUGGGAANCGCAUUGGUGACUGCACGGCUAGAGUGUGUCAGAGGGGGGUAGAAUUCCACGNGUAGCAGUGAAAUGCGUAGAGAUGUGGAGGAAUACCGAUGGCGAAGGCAGCCCCCUGGGAUAACACUGACGCUCAUGCACGAAAGCGUGGGGAGCAAACAGGAUUAGAUACCCUGGUAGUCCACGCCCUAAACGAUGUCAACUAGUUGUUGGGAGGGUUUUCUUUCUCAGUAACGAAGCUAACGCGUGAAGUUGACCGCCUGGGGAGU
RNAcentral lists this ribosomal RNA (356 nucleotides) under uncultured bacterium. RNAcentral's name for it is "partial 16S ribosomal RNA". It matches the Rfam family "Bacterial small subunit ribosomal RNA", at positions 527 to 881 of the family's 1533-position model. The record is from RNAcentral.